UCAAGCGUUUAAGGGCGUGUAGUGGAUGCCUUGGCACUGAAAGCCGAUGAAGGACGUGAUAUACUGCGAUAAGUUUCGGGGAGCUGUAUGUAAGCUUUGAUCCGAAAAUUUCCGAAUGGGGAAACCCACCACUUUAUGUGGUACUUUAAACUGAAUACAUAGGUUUAAAGAGACAACCUGGAGAACUGAAACAUCUAAGUAACCAGAGGAAAAGAAAUCAAUUGAGAUUCCGUUAGUAGUGGCGAGCGAACGCGGAGUAGGCCAGUAGUUUUGUUAGAAAAAUUUGAAUAGUUUGGAAAUGCUAACCAUAGAGGGUGAUAGUCCCGUAUGAGUAAUGUCUAACAAAAUUCUUGAGUAAAGCGGGACACGAGAAAUCCUGCUCGAAUAUAGGGGGACCACCCUCUAAGCCUAAAUACUCUUCAGUGACCGAUAGUGAACUAGUACCGUGAGGGAAAGGUGAAAAGAACCCCUAUUAGGGGAGUGAAAUAGAACCUGAAACUGCAUGCCUACAAUCAGUCCGAGCCCUUUUUAGGGUGAGGGCGUACCUUUUGUAUAAUGGGUCAGUGACUUAAUUUAUUAAGCAAGCUUAAGCCAUCUAGGUGUAGGCGCAGCGAAAGCAAGUCUUAAUAGGGCGAUUAGUUUAAUGAAUUAGACCCGAAAACGAAUGAGCUUACCAUGAGCAGGUUGAAAGUUGGGUAACACCAACCGGAGGACCGAACCAGUUGACGUUGAAAAGUCUUUGGAUGACUUGUGGUAAGGGGUGAAAGGCCAACCAAAUUCGUAGAUAGCUGGUUUUCCGCGAAAACUAUUUAGGUAGUGCGUCGAAUAAAUAGAUGUUUAGAGGUAGAGCACUAAAUGGGCUAGGGGGAAGAGAUUCUUACCAAACCUAAUAAAACUCCGAAUGCUAGACAUUGUUCUUCGGCAGACAGACUGUGGGUGCUAAGGUCCAUGGUCGAGAGGGAAAGAGCCCAGACCACCAGAUAAGGUCCCAAAAUCAUGAUUAAGUGUGAAAGGAUGUGGAAAUUCCUUAACAGCCGGGAGGUUGGCUUAGAAGCAGCCAUCCUUUAAAGAUAGCGUAACAGCUCACCGGUCUAAUAGAGUUUCUGCGCCGAAGAUGUAACGGGGCUAAAAUCAUGUACCGAAUCUGUGGCUUUGCAAAGUUUUCGAACUUUGUAAGGGGUAGCGGAACGUUCUGUAAGCCUGCGAAGGGAUACCCGUGAGGGAUCCUGGAGGUAUCAGAAGUGCGAAUGCUGACAUAAGUAACGAUAAACGAAGUGAAAAACUUCGUCGCCGAAAAUCUAAGGGUUUCUAUGCAAGGUUAAUCCGCGUAGAGUUAGUCGGCACCUAAGGCGAGGGCGAAAGCCGUAGUCGAUGGAAACAAGGUUAAUAUUCCUUGACCUGAUGGUAGUGACGGAUUCCGUAAGUUGUGAGUUCUUAAUGGAUUGAACUUGCCGCGAAGGGGUCCCAAGAAAUAGCUCCAUCAUGAAGACCGUACCCGAAACCGACACAGGUAGAUUAAUAGAGUAUAUUUAGGCGCUUGAGAGAAUGAUGUUGAAGGAACUCGGCAAAAUGCUUCCGUAACUUCGGGAUAAGGAAGACCCUUUUGUAGGCAACUAUGGAAGGGUGGCACAAGCCAGGGAGAAGCGACUGUUUAUCAAAAACACAGGGCUCUGCUAACACGUAAGUGGAUGUAUAGGGUCUGACGCCUGCCCGGUGCUGGAAGGUUAAUGCGGUUGGUGCAAGCUAACUUCUGAAGCCCCAGUAAACGGCGGCCGUAACUAUAACGGUCCUAAGGUAGCGAAAUUCCUUGUCGGGUAAGUUCCGACCUGCACGAAUGG
RNAcentral lists this ribosomal RNA (1838 nucleotides) under marine metagenome. Its description in RNAcentral is "bacterial LSU rRNA". It matches the Rfam family "Bacterial large subunit ribosomal RNA", at positions 1 to 1999 of the family's 2925-position model. The record is from RNAcentral.